GGCGGUGCACCCAAGCCUGGAGCGUGGGCCUUCUGCCCUAGCAAAGCAGUUUGCACCAACGUUCGCUUUUCAGAUCAGCGCUAGAAAUGCCGGGGGACUUUCAUACCAAGCCCCAGGCAUUUAUGAACCCAGAAACUGUAGUUUUUAAUCACGAAAACAGAAAACCAAAGCAGUUAAGGCUAAGGACAGAAUGGAACCGGGCAGAAUCAGAACAUGGGUUCACAAUUACAGCCUAGAAAUAAGCUCUGGGGCUUUUGUACUCGUUGGACAAGAAGAAGAGUCCAGGCACCUCGAGGCCUCCUGAGGCCAGCUCAGAGAGCCAGCAGAAGUGAAGAAGGACCUUCUGGCUUCCUGAAUCCCUCCAGGAAAGUUUCUUUUUGGAAAGCCCUGUGCCAACAAAGUCUUGCUUGUAUCUUGUCUCUGUUGUUUAGUUCGAGAGUGUCUCGGCGGCAUACCUAGAUCACCGAAAGUAAACCAGGAGAGAACAAAACACGCGACAGGCGGGAACCCGGACCACUCGUACAGACGAGAUGGCAGCCAGGCCAUUGAGUCUUUCCAGCACCAUUUGUAUGAAAAUUUACCUUUAUUAAAUAUCAACAUAGAAAAUUUGAGUAGUAGAAGAAAAAAGAAAACUUGUCACUUAUAAAUCUGCUGUCCAAAGUGAUCUUGUUUACUAUUAGGAUCAUUUCCUUAUAGUUAUUUUUUAAUAUCUAUGUUCAUAAUCAGGUGUUAUCUCAUUAAUCUUAACAGUUUUAUAGGUAAAUACUGCUAUUAUUUCCAUUUUGCAGAGGAAGGAAUACAGAGAGGGUAGGAAUUCUAAUUCAGAUAUACUUGGACAGUAAGCAGUAGUGCCAGGAUUUUGAACCCAGGCAACAUAACUGCAAAGCCUCUGCACUUAGACAAUAUGCAUGCAUGUGUGAGUCAAAUUAGGGUUGUGUGGCAUAACAGUAUUGUUCUGGCCUUCCUCUCCCUAUUUACAAAUGAAUGAAUAUAUAUGAUUUAAGUGACAACAACAAUAAUAAAAUACAUAGUCUUUCUUUUUUUUCUUUUUUAAUGGCCACGUGUGUAGCACAUAUAAGUUCCUGGGCUUAGUAUUGAGUCUGAGCCACAGCUGCUACCUACACUGCAGCUGUGGCAACACUGGAUCCUUUAACUCACUCUGUCAGGCUGGGGAUCAAACCCAUGCCUCAGCACAAACUGAGUCACUCCAGCGGGAUUCUUAACCCACUGUACCACAGCAGGAAGUCCUAAAAUGCAUAGUCUUGUUCUCACCAUCCCAGCAAGAACUCGGUUAUCCUCAAAACCUUUAAAUUGAUUGUGCGUGCUCAUCCCCAUUCUGUUCCCUUACUUGACCAGCCUCAGGGUUAACUACCAUUCUGAAAGUUUCUACCAUUCCCUUGUUUUUCUUUAUUUUUCUAUAAAUAUAUGCCCAAAUAAUACUAUUCAGUUUUGGCUACUGUUUAAAUUUUUAUAAAAUAGAGUCACUGUAUUUAUCUUGGGGGGAGGGACUUGCUGGGAUUUUUUUUCACUCUAUUUUUUUGUAAUUCAUCUAUAUUAAUUUUUAUAACUACAGUUUGUUCAUUUUCAGCCGGGUAGCAUUCCAUUGUCUGAAUACAUCUUAUUUAUCCAAUUUUAGAUUGUUUCCAGUUGUUUACUAUUAGAAACAGUAUUGCAGUAAACAUUUUCUUUCACAUCUAUUGCAGCAAGUGUACAAGAGUUUCUCUAGUAGAAUUUCUGGGUGAUAGGGCAUGUGCAUCUUUAAUUUUACUUCAUAAUACUCUAUUUUACAAAGUUGUUUUGUCAGUUUAUGCUUCUACCAGCAGUAUGAGUUCUCAUCAGGGGUAUGUCUUUGCCAGUACUUAGCUAUCCAUAUUUGUAAAACUUUUGCCAAUCUGAUGUGAUGAGUUUUAAUUUGCAGUAUGGCAAGCAUCAUAUAUGUAUAUAUGUGGGGGGGGUGUGUGUGUGUCUGUGUGCGUGUAUUUUUUGGUAAAGUGACUAUUCAACUAUUUUGCCUACAUUUUUUCUUCAAAAGGGGUAUUGCCUUUUUCUUAAUGGUUUGUAAUGUUGGAUAUAGUCUAGAUACCAAUAGGUGUGG
Sus scrofa (pig) is the source of this 2095-nucleotide non-coding RNA. Lineage: Eukaryota; Metazoa; Chordata; Mammalia; Artiodactyla; Suidae. The record is from RefSeq and is a predicted model, not a curated record.